This 378-nucleotide long non-coding RNA is filed under the name Homo sapiens (human). RNAcentral's name for it is "HSALNT0195556". Lineage: Eukaryota; Metazoa; Chordata; Mammalia; Primates; Hominidae. The record is from RNAcentral.
GUGUCCCCGCCAGCCUGGUGCGCGGAGCCUGGCUCCUCGGCGCGCCUGAGCAGCGGCCCUGGGAGGGAGAGGCGUCGCGUUGCAAGAAAGCUGUUGUGUCCUUGGAAGUCUUACAACUCCACAGACCACGUACUUCCUGGGCCAAAGAGCACUCCUAGUCUUUGGGGGGAUAGAAACUGAGAGAAGCAAAGAGAGACCUCCACCAUUCCAAGGUGGGACAUGUUAAAGUCCUGUUCGUGGAGAAAAGCUUUCGUGGUUGAAUGAGAGAGUUGCAAUUGUAUCUAUUUCUCUAGAGCAUUGCCAGUUGCACUUUUCAAUAAAAAAUCUUCACAUUUAUGUCCUUAUGGCUGUCCAGAGCAUCAUAGGGUAUCUGAAGAC